RNAcentral lists this ribosomal RNA (451 nucleotides) under uncultured organism. Its description in RNAcentral is "partial 16S ribosomal RNA". It matches the Rfam family "Bacterial small subunit ribosomal RNA", at positions 330 to 797 of the family's 1533-position model. The record is from RNAcentral.
CGUACACUCCUGCGGGAGGCAGCAGUGGGGAAUAUUGGACAAUGGGCGCAAGCCUGAUCCAGCCAUGCCGCGUGAGUGAUGAAGGCCCUAGGGUUGUAAAGCCCUUUCACCGGUGAAGAUAAUGACGGUAACCGGAGAAGAAGCCCCGGCUAACUUCGUGCUAGCAGCCGCGGUAAUACGAAGGGGGCUAGCGUUGUUCGGAUUUACUGGGCGUAAAGCGCACGUAGGCGGACUAUUAAGUCAGGGGUGAAAUCCCGGGGCUCAACCCCGGAACUGCCUUUGAUACUGGUAGUCUUGAGUUCGAGAGAGGUGAGUGGAAUUCCGAGUGUAGAGGUGAAAUUCGUAGAUAUUCGGAGGAACACCAGUGGCGAAGGCGGCUCACUGGCUCGAUACUGACGCUGAGGUGCGAAAGCGUGGGGAGCAAACAGGAUUAGAAACCCGUGUAGUCCCA